GGCGCGGCCCGACCGCCCAGCCCGCCAGGCGUCGCUCCCAGCGCCGGCGCGCUUGUGUCCGCGCGGAGCCUUGGGAGCCCUGUGUUUCCUGAGGUGUUUUUACCUCAGACGUGCGAGGUGACGUCAGGAUCUGCUGAAGGCUGAGAUCGUCCCUGUGCCUCCUUUGUGGGCCCGUCACCUCAUUUGCGUGCGCAGUUGCGGACGAUUCGUAAAUGUGUGUGUGUGGAAUGCGGGAAAAACAGAAAAAACAAAUCCCUAAAGUGCCUGGAAGAUACAUGGGGUCAGGCUCAUGCAACUUUGCAAAAGGAAGAGGAGAGGUGGAUCCAGUGCUGGCCCAGCUGAGUAGGAGGGCGGUAGCUGUGCAUGUGAUCUCCAGAUUCUCGAAUUUGGUGAUAUGCCCCUGGGGAGAGCAUGUAGGUGGACAUCCUUGUGUCCGUCUGUGUCCUCUUUGUGAUGUUCUUCAUCCCGGUCAGCUUUGUCAUCUUCCUGAUCCAGGAGCAGGCCAGUAAAAUGAAGCACCUGCAGUUCAUCAGUGGAGUGAAGCCCGUCAUCUACUGGCUCACCAAUUUUGUCUGGGACAUGGGGAAAACUAUUUCAACGGUGAAAAUGACGCAGGAAUCAGAAGCAUAUUCUGCUGAGACUCAAGGAAGUUAACACUUUCCCGAACUGGAAAAGACAUUUCAUAAGAAGGCAUAUGAAGUUAUUGACUGAAUCAAAUUUGUUCUAAGAA
Diceros bicornis minor is the source of this 730-nucleotide long non-coding RNA. RefSeq lists it as uncharacterized. The transcript has 5 exons. NCBI's taxonomy places the organism in Eukaryota, Metazoa, Chordata, Mammalia, Perissodactyla, Rhinocerotidae. The record is from RefSeq and is a predicted model, not a curated record.